Molecule: ribosomal RNA, 547 nt
Filed under: uncultured bacterium
Lineage: Bacteria
Description: partial 16S ribosomal RNA
Rfam family: Bacterial small subunit ribosomal RNA
Source: RNAcentral
UGGGGAAUAUUGGACAAUGGGCGCAAGCCUGAUCCAGCAAUGCCGCGUGAGUGAUGAAGACCUUAGGGUUGUAAAGCUCUUUCGCACGCGACGAUGAUGACGGUAGCGUGAGAAGAAGCCCCGGCUAACUUCGUGCCAGCAGCCGCGGUAAUACGAAGGGGGCUAGCGUUGUUCGGAAUUACUGGGCGUAAAGGGCGCGUAGGCGGCCUGUUUAGUCAGAAGUGAAAGCCCCGGGCUCAACCUGGGAAUAGCUUUUGAUACUGGCAGGCUUGAGUUCCGGAGAGGAUGGUGGAAUUCCCAGUGUAGAGGUGAAAUUCGUAGAUAUUGGGAAGAACACCGGUGGCGAAGGCGGCCAUCUGGACGGACACUGACGCUGAGGCGCGAAAGCGUGGGGAGCAACAGGAUUAGAUACCCUGGUAGUCCACGCCGUAAACGAUGAAUGCUAGACGUCAGGGUGCAUGCACUUCGGUGUCGCCGCUAACGCAUUUAAGCAUUCCGCCUGGGGAGUACGGCCGCAAGGUUAAAACUCAAAUGAAUUGACGGGGUC